This 463-nucleotide ribosomal RNA is filed under the name uncultured bacterium. RNAcentral describes it as "partial 16S ribosomal RNA". It matches the Rfam family "Bacterial small subunit ribosomal RNA", at positions 28 to 506 of the family's 1533-position model. The record is from RNAcentral.
GACGAACGCUGGCGGCGUGCUUAACACAUGCAAGUCGAACGGAAAGGCCCCUUUGGGGGUACUCGAGUGGCGAACGGGUGAGUAACACGUGAGUAACCUGCCCUUGACUUCGGGAUAACUUCAGGAAACUGGGGCUAAUACCGGAUAGGAAUCCUUGCUGCAUGGUGGGGGUUGGAAAGCUUCGGCGGUUUUGGAUGGACUCGCGGCUUAUCAGCUUGUUGGUGGGGUAGUGGCUUACCAAGGCUUUGACGGGUAGCCGGCCUGAGAGGGCGACCGGCCACAUUGGGACUGAGAUACGGCCCAGACUCCUACGGGAGGCAGCAGUGGGGAAUAUUGCACAAUGGGCGGAAGCCUGAUGCAGCAACGCCGCGUGCGGGAUGACGGCCUUCGGGUUGUAAACCGCUUUCAGCAGGGGCGAAGCUUUUGUGACGGUACCUGCAGAAGAAGCACCGGCUAACUACGU